RNAcentral lists this ribosomal RNA (207 nucleotides) under uncultured bacterium. RNAcentral's name for it is "partial 16S ribosomal RNA". It matches the Rfam family "Bacterial small subunit ribosomal RNA", at positions 568 to 774 of the family's 1533-position model. The record is from RNAcentral.
CGCGCAGGCGGCGAUAUCAGUCAGGCGUGAAAGCCCCGGGCUUAACCUGGGAACUGCGUUUGAUACUGUAUUGCUAGAGACCGGAAGAGGAUGGUGGAACUCCCAGUGUAGAGGUGAAAUUCGUAGAUAUUGGGAAGAACACCGGUGGCGAAGGCGGCCAUCUGGUCCGGAUCUGACGCUGAGGCGCGAAAGCGUGGGGAGCAAACA